This 814-nucleotide ribosomal RNA is filed under the name uncultured bacterium. RNAcentral describes it as "bacterial SSU rRNA". It matches the Rfam family "Bacterial small subunit ribosomal RNA", at positions 74 to 871 of the family's 1533-position model. The record is from RNAcentral.
UUGACGUUGGAUUACCAGUGAGCGGCGGACGGGUGAGUAACACGUGGGCAACCUGCCCUGGAGCGGGGGAUAACAUCUGGAAACAGGUGCUAAUACCGCAUAACAACGAAAACCACAUGGUUUUCGUUUCAAAGAUGGUUUCGGCUAUCACUUCAGGAUGGGCCCGCGGUGCAUUAGCUAGUUGGUAAGGUAACGGCUUACCAAGGCAAUGAUGCAUAGCCGAGUUGAGAGACUGAUCGGCCACAAUGGAACUGAGACACGGUCCAUACUCCUACGGGAGGCAGCAGUAGGGAAUCUUCCACAAUGGGCGCAAGCCUGAUGGAGCAACACCGCGUGAGUGAAGAAGGGUUUCGGCUCGUAAAGCUCUGUUGUUGGAGAAGAACGUGCGUGAGAGUAACUGUUCACGCAGUGACGGUAUCCAACCAGAAAGUCACGGCUAACUACGUGCCAGCAGCCGCGGUAAUACGUAGGUGGCAAGCGUUAUCCGGAUUUAUUGGGCGUAAAGCGAGCGCAGGCGGUUGCUUAGGUCUGAUGUGAAAGUCUUCGGCUUAACCGAAGAAGGGCAUCGGAAACCGGGCGACUUGAGUGCAGAAGAGGACAGUGGAACUCCAUGUGUAGCGGUGGAAUGCGUAGAUAUAUGGAAGAACACCAGUGGCGAAGGCGGCUGUCUGGUCUGCAACUGACGCUGAGGCUCGAAAGCAUGGGUAGCGAAACAGGAUUAGAUACCCUGGUAGUCCAUGCCGUAAACGAUGAGUGCUAGGUGUUGGAGGGUUUCCGCCCCUUCAGUGCCGGAGCUAACGCAUUAAGCACUCCG